This 254-nucleotide ribosomal RNA is filed under the name uncultured bacterium. RNAcentral's name for it is "partial 16S ribosomal RNA". It matches the Rfam family "Bacterial small subunit ribosomal RNA", at positions 524 to 776 of the family's 1533-position model. The record is from RNAcentral.
UACAUAGGUGGCAAACGUUAUCCGGAAUUACUGGGCGUAAAGAGUGCGUAGGUGGUUCAAUAAGUUACUGGUGGGAAAUCGGGGCUCAACCUCGUGGAAGUCAGUAAUACUAUUAAACUAGAGGGUCGGAGAGGUUAACGGAAUUCUAUGUGUAGCGGUAAAAUGCUUAAAUAUAUAGAGGAACACCAAACGGCGAAGGCAGUUAACUAUUCGAUUCCUGACGUUGAGGCACGAAAGCGUGGGGAGCAAGACGG